GUGCGUGAUGUUCAACAACCGCAAUCACUCCGAUACCUCUGAUAGUAUUGUUUGAUUGACACCAUUGCGUACUGAUGC
Small nucleolar RNA from Trypanosoma brucei brucei TREU927, 78 nucleotides. The record is from RefSeq and is a predicted model, not a curated record. Lineage: Eukaryota; Euglenozoa; Kinetoplastea; Trypanosomatida; Trypanosomatidae.